CUACUAGAAUUAGUCUGAUUGCUUCGAGGAAAGAAUCGUAGCUGCAAAUGUCUUGUCUUUCUCAUCUCAUUGCUACAAAACCACCCAAGCCAGCCAUUAGUGGAUAGAUAGUUGGUGUGGAGAGUCUUUUCCUUUUCUUUCUUGCUUGGAGAGAGAGAGAGAGAGAGAGAGUCUUAUUGGAUGAUGAGUCUGUUUCUUCUUGACAACCCUUCCCCCACAAUGAUCUCUUCAAAGUUCACAACCUAUUCCUAAUGUGAUCUGAAUCCUAUCACAUGAUAAUGAAUUGUUAAACUAAACAAAGUCAGAGCUGUCACCAAAAUCAAAUCAGAGUUCAAAAUAAUCUGCUCAAAACAUUUCAAAAACAACAAUUGUUUUCAUCACAUCAAAAUAAUCAUAAUUAAAACUCAUAAAAUACUCAUCGACCCUUAGUGGCUUUCUUGUUUAUGUACCUGCAUGAUGACAUGCAACCUCCGUCACUAGAUGGCUUUCUUGUUUUCAUUCGCAUGGCUAGUGAAUGCGGGUGCUGAGUGAAAGGCAAUGACCUACUAUGGUUGCCAACCUUGCCAUAGGCAGCAAUGCGGUUGCUUUUGACCAACUGUUACACAGCAGACGCUUUGCAAUUCACAAAGGCUACGACAAUGUUGUUAGCCACAGUCGACAUCGACGGGUUAUCGAUCGACCGCAGAGGUAGUUCGGGUCGCAACAUAAUAUUAUAAACUCGAUAUUCAAAUUAAUUCUAUGUAAAUCAUUACAUAUAAUUCUAAAAUUAAUUAUUAUAUAAUCAUAAAAUAUACUGAAUUUAUCAUUAUGAAAGAAAAAUAAUAUCAUAACUCAUGAAAUCCAGAUAGUGAAUUUAUUAAAUGUUCGGUAGUCAAAUUAUUAUAAGUUUUUUUAUUAAUUAAUCUUAAUUAUUUUUAAAUAUAAUAUACUAGUCAGCUUAUUCAAAUCAUAUUUAUUUUUAUUUAUAUUAUGAUGAAUCUUGAAUGUGCUAAACUGAGGAGAAAGAAAAUUAAGAAUGAACUACGUUGAAAAACUCAUUCACAUUCAUAUCUAAAUUUUUAAGUUUUGUCAUCUUAUCAGUUAUAUCAAUAAUCGGAUCAUGAAUCCCUCAAGUGUCAUAAUUCUAUAAUACUAAAUCGUAGUCGAUUCUUUUAUUUAUAUGUUAAUCAAUAAUUUAUUAAUAGAUUUAUAUUUGUUUUCAAUAGUCGUAUAAUAUUCUUGUGCGUCAUACGCAAUAAUGAUAUAUUGAUGUUAUUUAUAAUUGUUAUUAUCAUAAAUAUCAGACUGAGUCUAUUAGAUCUUUUGUAAGAAUUUUUUUUAUUAAUUUAUUUCAUAGUGUUUUGAUCGGUAAGUUUACAAACUUUUCAACAAGUAAUCUUAGAUCACGAUCUAAUAUAUCCGGUAUGAACCGCAUAUGUUAUAACCAUUAUGAAUAACUUAAAUUAGAAAAUGCAAAAACACCAUAAGCAAGACAAUGUAUGGAAAGAAAUACCAUUAUAAAAUAUCAAAUAAUAAUAAUGCUUUGGGUUUUGAUGAACUAUCGAAAUAAUAGUAAUUGAACUUUUGGGUGAGAUAUCUAGUAUUCUCUUAAGAUUAUUUGUGGACGACUAAUAUGAUUCUUAUGGAAUAGUAUUAUUACCAUUAGAUAUACAUUACUAAACUAUAAGGAUAUCUAAAUAAUAUUAUCCUAGCAUAUUAUAUAAUUAUUCGAAAUAUAUUCACUUUUAACAUAUUAUCUAAUUAUUCGAAGUACUAUUAUAAUUAUUAUUAUUUAUAUCAUUUAUAACUAAUUCUUUGAUGUAAUUUUAUAAAUUAUUAUUCUAAGCCACUUUUGUGACUAUAAGACCAAUAAAAUAAUAUAAACUAUAGUUUAAAAUAUUUUAUAAUUAAUAAAUUUUAUUUUUUUAUAAUUUGUAUCUCUAUAUGUCUAUCAUCUUAGGUCAUUUUGGUAGUUACAAUUUGGAUAAAACUUAAGGAUAUAAAUUAUAAAUAAUAUUUAUUAAAUUUUAUUUAAUCUAAUUUAUUUAAAAAUACUUUAAUAAUAAUAAAAUAAUAACCAUAAUAAUUAUUAUAUAUUAAUCAUCUAUUGAUUGUAAUUACGAUAAAACAUAAAUCAUGGUUUUCUGUGAAAAAUAAAUAUUAUUUCACAAUCAUAUGCAUGCAAUUAACUAUAUAAAUAUCUAAUAAUAAUAAUUAAAAUUUAAUUAUUAUAAGAAAAAAAAAUUUAUGAAUAUAUCAUAUUUUUUUAAUCAUGUAAAUGAGAUAGAUGAGCUAAUCAAUCUUAUUUAAUUGGGCAUCCCAAAAUUGAGUCAAAAAUUAGGUUGUCCAUAUUAAACCGAACAGUCAAUCCCAUCAAACUAAUCAAAAUUAGAUUCAACCAAAAUUCAAUUUAAAAAUAGAUUGAUAAAAAAAUUAGGCGAAAAUUGAGCUUUAGUCAAAAUUUGAUUAAAAUAAGUCAAAUUGAUCCAUUUUACAAUUGGGGACAUAAGUAAAAAAUAUUUUAUUUUCGAAUUAUAAAUCUAUCAUGGGGUAACACGGAUUGGAAUUAAAAUAUUUACAAUGGUAAAAUAGUCUUUUAUUAAAUUUAAAAAUCCUAAUGUCAUUUCUUUCUUCUCAAUUGCCUUAGCCUAUGCUUAUGCGAGGCUUAUGGUCACUGUAAUGCACCACGAUGCAUAACUAUUCGUCGCUUGUGCAUCACUGAUCCGAACACUCCAUGGCAUAUUUGUGACUCUACAUCAUGGCACUGGUAUCUAUGGCCGACAGCUCUUCACCGGUGACCAACAUUGCCCAAUGAUGUAGUAAUGCUACCACCCCCGGAUUGGCAUGCACAAAUGUGUUACCUCCAUAUCUGACGUCAACCACCAUCGCAUGUUGCUGAUCGACACCCAAAAAGGCCAACAACCAUUGGAGGUUGCUGCUUGCCGCUAUCGAUGCUUGUUAGCAACCGUCUUCAUCGCCCUUAUUGUUGUUGGUUGAGGCCAAAGCCCAAUAACACUACUACCUUUGUUGAGCUGCAUCGCUUGUGGCCAAAUCCUAUUAUCAUAGGCAACAACAACGCCAUCCAAGGCAUCCGCAUCCCACGGUGGCAACCACCACAAUUAGUAGUGCCAUUGUAGCACUUACACUGUCAAGAUUGCUGCACACAGUAGUUGCCCAUCUAGUAUAGAUAGCCCACUAGUCAAAUAAGGGUAGCAUCUCAUCCUCGGCUCUACUUGCAAAAAGCAAAGAAUUUUGAAUCACCCGUAAACAUAUAAUAAGACAAAUUAGAUAGAAAAAUAUAUCGAUAAACACAAAUGAAUCAUUCAAGAAUCAUAAAAACAAGAUUAAAUAUAACAUUUCCCAAAUUAUAAGUAAAUUUAAUAUAAAAUAGAUCUAAUAAGCAUAAAAAUUAAUUUAAAAAUAUAUCUAAUAUCACCUUUUAACGAUAUAAGGUAUUUGACUUCAAAGUAUUAGGUUCUAAUACCAAUUGUAAAUAUAAAAAAUAUAAUAAUAUUAUAAUUAUGUAAAAAAUUGAAAUCAAAUAAAAAUAUAUCAAGAUAAAAAAAAAAUGUACAUUUUGAUAUCAUUUAAAAAAUAUUUAUUGAUUUUAGAAUGUGUUUCAUACACAGAGUGUGAACUAUACAUAUUCUAACCAUUCAGAAUAAUUUGAACCAGAGUAUAAGGACACGAGAAGAAUGAGAGUGCAGGGAAGGAAGUAUCAUAGUAAAAUUUAAAAUAAAUUUAAUAUUUUAAAAUUUUAAAAUAUGAUGAACUAUUGAUAUUAUUCAUAUUUCACCUCUAGGUAAAAUAUUGAUAUAUAUGGUGUUCGCUAAAAAAUUAUUUAUGGAUAAGUAAUACUAUCCUUGUGGAAUAAUAUACAAUUUAAAAUUAUCAUGAUAUUCAAAAUAGUAUCAUCAUAUCAUGGGUUUAUCUAAAUCCCAUAAUUAUGUGUGUCAUUAUAAAUAUUAUUUUUUAUUAAUAUAAUUUAGGAUCAAUUCUUUAAUAUAAUUUCAUAAAUUAUUAGUGUAGGAUGACUGUAAGACUAAUAUAAUAAUUUAAAGUAUAAUUUAAAAUAAAUAUUUAUUAUAAUUCAUAUCACAUAAGCCUAUCAUUUGACACUAUUUUGGUAUAUACAAGUUAAAUAAAACUUAGAGAUAUAAAUUAUAAAUAAUAUUUACUAAAUAUUUUUAAUUUGAUUUAUAUAAAAAUAACUAAAUAAUUAUAAAUAAAUAUUAAUUAUUAAUCAACAUAAAAAAAACUUAUGCGAUGAAUAUAAUCAUGAUAAAACAUAAAUAAUAUCUUUAAGCAAAAAAAUUAUUUCAUAAUUUUAAACAUAUACAUGUGAAUAACUAAAUAAAUAUCCAAAAUAAUAAUUAAAAUUUAAAUAUCAUAAAUAAUAAAAAAAAUAUAUAAUAUUUCAUAUGAGAAAAUUAUAAUUUAUAAUAUUUUAAAAUUUUGUAUGGAACUCUAAAUUAAACUAGUAAAUUCUACAUCAACCCAAUUAGGUUAGUCAAAAUUAAAACUAAGUAAAAUAAAAAAAUUAAUCAAGAUUUAACUUUUUCCAAAUUCGGUCAAAAAUAAAAUUGAUUGAAUCUAAAUGUAGUUGAGUAGUCAAAAUACAAUCAUAAAUAAGUUCGAUUAAAAUUAUUUGAUUAAAGUUGAUCAAAUUAUUUUAUUCUAUAGUUCAUGACAUAAGUAAAAAAUAUAUAAUUUUUGAAAGUUAGAACUAUCAAAAGGAUAUUGACAAGAAGUAAAUGGGUUCAAAAAGACAAUCUUUUAACAAUUGAAAACCCAUAAUUUUUUUUUCUUUUUCUCAACCAUCGUAGCUUACACAACGCAUGCUGCUAGUGUAGUGUGUGGUUGUCCGUCGCCUAUGUGCCUCCUAUGAUUGUUGAGGAAUGUGACCAACCGACGAGCCCUACGAUCGUCGAGGUGUGCACAACUGUUCUCACGCGGUCGACUAACAACGUGUUGCCACCACUUGCAUUGACUUUAUUGCACGCAGUCGUUCGCUAUCUAUGCACAAUUGCCUUGAACUACCUCUAUGGCCAAUUGACGACCCAUCAAUGCCGACCAUGGCCAACAAUGUCAUCGCAACCUCUGUGAAUUGCCACGCAUCUAACGUGCAACUGUUGAUCAAUGACAAUGGUAUUGCUGCUUGUGGCAAGAUUGGUAACCAUCAUACAUCAUCGCCUUUCGCUUAGUGCCUACCUUUGCAAGCCAUGUGACCAAUAGUAACUAUGUCAACCCAGCUUCGACCCACGUCAACGUAGCCCGUUAUUGAUGAUCGCUUUUAUUCCUUCCUAUCACCACACUUUGUCGCAACAAUCCUAUCCUACUACGACCCCUUGACCCACAAGUGAACAAAACUAAUAAUGGCAUACUGACAUUUAUUACUGAUCAUAGUAGGUUGUCACCCUUCAUAAUAUUGUAUUCAACAACAAGCUAUUCACUAUAUCCAGUCGAUCAAAAUCGAGCAACAUGCUUCCAUCUACAAUUCCUCUCAUGUGGGUGGAAAACACCUUCAUCACUUGCAAAUAGAUGACCAAGGUGAGCAAGAUAAAAUAAAUAGAUUUGAUCGCCUAGACAAAUGGAAAAAACACAGAAUAGAUAUAAUACAAAGCAUAUUAGGAUAAAAUAAAUAGAUUUGAUCACCACAAAUGGGAAGAAUAGAUCUAAUACAAAACAUAUUUAAUGCUUUUAUGAUAUAUGAUAUUUGAUUUUGAAAUAGACUCUAAAAAUAAUUGUAUGCAUAAAAACUACAAUCAUGCUACUAUGAGAUAGAAUUUACUAAUAGAAUCAAAAUAACAUAUCUUUCGAUACUAUUCAAAAUUUUUUUGUUUGAUUCACAAGUACAUUAUUGUCGGAUCCGAAAGCUAUAGCGAUGUCGACCUAUAAGGACAAUAAAACUCGUAUUAUUCUCUAUUCGUAUAUUUAAUAAAAUGAUUAUAAACGAUGAAAUAGAGAUAAGACGGUUGAUAAUAAAUACAUCUCAUAUCAUUAUAGUUUUUAGGAGAUCUUAUCUAUUUAUAAACGAUAACAAAAGAUAUAGGCAAAAAAAAAAGAGUCACUUAUCUUUUCAGAAAUCCUAUCAUAAAUAAAUUUCUUUUUCGAUGAUCAUAAUCAAAUUUUAAUUAAAUUUAAAAUAUAUCUUAUCUAAUUAAAUAAAAUUUUAUCUCAUCCACUUCCUUCAGUUUACUUUAACAUGAGAGCCAUUUGAACAAGAAUAUUAAGAUGCAAAUACUUUAUAAGAAAGUCUGAAAAUUAAACCUAUGUUGGCCCGAGGUUACCCGCGUCACACGAAAGCAAGAUUAAAUUCACUUUUCCGACGAACCACGGUCCGCCAUUAAUGUGCGUUCCAGAUUCGAGAGGAUUCGAGAAAGCAUACCUUGGAAUUCGAGAGGAGGGGCACGGCACGGCCCAUGAACUCUCUCUCUCUCAUCCGGCCUUCAUGUACUUGUGCCAUGUGCUUACCUUAAUAAGCUCGCUCAUGAGGUCGGUACAGUCGAGGGAGGAGUCUCGCAAGGGGAAGGGCCCAAAUGUGACGGAGAUUUCGAGUGGAAAGGGCCAAAAGGAGAAGUAGAUGUCCAAGGCAAAGGGCCGGCUGAAGGCGGCCAAGUCGAGGGAGGAGUAUCGCAAUAGGUGUUGCCUCCGGACCAUUCCAUGUUUUCAAUACGCAGAUCCAAUUGUCUGCUCCAGACGAACAUCUGGCGCUCUCGUCCCGCGGCCCUCGCGAGGCACGCAGGCGGAUGUAUAGGGUCGUCUUCUUGGUGGCUCUUUGCCCCCCCACCCCCACCGAACCCUAAAUCGCGUGACCUACUGACGGGCCGUCGUCGGGAGAUCCAGCGGAACUAAUGUGCACGAUCCUCGGCGCCCUCGUACCUUCAGUGUGCUGGCUCCUGGAUCGCCGUCGACGCAGGAGGCGAUAGCGGGGAUUCAUUCGCCAGAGAUGUUGCCACGGUCGACGUCGACGGAGGCGUGGCAAUCCGUGUACUAUUCCUUUUGUCUCCACCCCCGAUCAGGUUUUGGUAAGUAAAACCCGAACUCAUCGUAAUUGUCAGUGGUCAAACUCAAUUCGAUGUCGUGCACCCAAAAAGUCCGAUUCGGAAUUGCGUUCUCUUAGCAUAGAGCUGCGGCAACUUCCACUUCCAUUAUGUGCAGUAAAGAAGGAAAUAUGUGUUUUUGGCCCGAGUUAGUAAUGACCAAUUUCGUAAGAAAGAAGAGAGAGACAACAGAGAAUUCUAUUACUUUUCUAUAAAAGGCUUAUAGAAUAGGUGCUUUAAAUAGGCCUCCAAUUAGGAGUUGUGUACACGGCAACAACUCAAAAUGAAGAUUUUGAAUUUUAAUCCUAAUCUUAUCUAAAGAAAAGUUCUAAAUCAAUUCUAGAAAGAAUUGUUACAGAGGGAGAGAAUCAUUAGAAAAAAAAUUAUAGAUUAAUAAUAAAAAAAUAAAUUAUUUAAUAUAUGAAAUCAAAACUUUUCUUUUUCAUCUCUCAUA
Molecule: long non-coding RNA, 7476 nt
Filed under: Musa acuminata (dwarf banana)
Lineage: Eukaryota; Viridiplantae; Streptophyta; Magnoliopsida; Zingiberales; Musaceae
Description: long non-coding RNA (MACU_LNC001213)
Source: RNAcentral